Molecule: ribosomal RNA, 541 nt
Filed under: uncultured bacterium
Lineage: Bacteria
Description: bacterial SSU rRNA
Rfam family: Bacterial small subunit ribosomal RNA
Source: RNAcentral
CCUUACCUGGCCUUGACAUACUAAGAACUUUCCAGAGAUGGAUUGGUGCCUUCGGGAACUUAGAUACAGGUGCUGCAUGGCUGUCGUCAGCUCGUGUCGUGAGAUGUUGGGUUAAGUCCCGCAACGAGCGCAACCCUUUUCCUUAUUUGCCAGCGGUUAAGCCGGGAACUUUAAGGAUACUGCCAGUGACAAACUGGAGGAAGGCGGGGACGACGUCAAGUCAUCAUGGCCCUUACGGCCAGGGCUACACACGUGCUACAAUGGUCGGUACAAAGGGUUGCUACCUCGCGAGAGGAUGCUAAUCUCAAAAAAGCCGAUCGUAGUCCGGAUCGCAGUCUGCAACUCGACUGCGUGAAGUCGGAAUCGCUAGUAAUCGCGGAUCAGAAUGCCGCGGUGAAUACGUUCCCGGGCCUUGUACACACCGCCCGUCACACCAUGGGAGUUUGUUGCACCAGAAGUAGGUAGUCUAACCGCAAGGAGGACGCUUACCACGGUGUGGCCGAUGACUGGGGUGAAGUCGUAACAAGGUAAGCGUAGAUGA